GUAAGAGUAUAUAUCUCUGUUAGAACUUGAACUAAGAAGUAUUAGUAUUUUUGUGACUCUUUCUGUAUAAUGGCAAUGCAGCUUUGAGUACCUGUAGCCUGCUAUAAAUGAUGAUAGGCCAAACUAAUGCAGCCAAGUUUCUUGACCAGGAUAUAAUGUGUCUGGGCUACUGUAGUUGUUUGGAUUUACUUUGGAGUUAAGGAAAAAUAAAAGAUUAUGACUGAGAAAGGGAAAGGGAAUUAAGAUUUGUUGCACUUGCUUAUAGGGAAAUCUUAUUCAGUCUGUGGAUUAGCCAGUUCUUGAUCAUAAAACUAGACUGUAUAACAUUCCUGUAAAUGAGAGUGCUGUUGGGAGGAAUGGAUUAAAAGCAGAAGACUGGUGAGGAGGAUUGUAAAUACACUCAAGUGACCUUGCAGCUGGGAAUGCGUAAAGUCUGGGGAGCAGCAAUGUAGAAAAACAUAUAAAUUAUGUCUGCUGCUGUUUGUGCUCUUUGUGUUUGGCAAGUAGCACAUCUGUGCAUAGAUAAUGUAGGUGUUUGGUGGACUUGGAGGUGCCCUAUCAGAUGUGCUUAUGCUCCCAGCCUUGGUACAGAGAUCAAAGAAGCACAGUGAGAAUCAUGGUGUAGUGGUAAAAACUGUGCCUGUGUGAACUCUUGAUAAAAACAGGUGAAACUAGCAGGCCGGUGAUCUCCUAGCAUGGACCCAGUUUAGCGGUUCCUGCAUUCCCACUUGUGUGCCUGUGCUCCUGUACCUUUUCUUGGGCGCUGCUUCAGGAAUCCCCCAGUUGGCAAGGUAAUGAGAAUAAAUCUACUCUUUGCAUUUUAGCUGCAAGUCUGUGAGUGUUCCUGAUGCCUGCCUGUGCUGACUCACACAAGUGCCUUUUGAAUUACAAGACAAUAUUUCACCUUUCCAGAAGUUUCUAUUUGACUGAAAUUGUAGCAGCCAGGAAAAGACAAAUAAGCAUCUUUCUCACUUUGCUGUACAAUCACCCCUUUUUGAAGAAAUAUAAUAUAACAUGGUGUAACAGGAGGAUAACUUCAAGCAAUUGA
This 1048-nucleotide long non-coding RNA is filed under the name Anser brachyrhynchus (Pink-footed goose). RNAcentral's name for it is "lncRNA (ENSABRG00000010254.1)". Lineage: Eukaryota; Metazoa; Chordata; Aves; Anseriformes; Anatidae. The record is from RNAcentral.